RNAcentral lists this ribosomal RNA (525 nucleotides) under uncultured Alphaproteobacteria bacterium. RNAcentral describes it as "bacterial SSU rRNA". It matches the Rfam family "Bacterial small subunit ribosomal RNA", at positions 36 to 609 of the family's 1533-position model. Lineage: Bacteria; Pseudomonadati; Pseudomonadota; Alphaproteobacteria. The record is from RNAcentral.
CUGGCGGCAGGCCUAACACAUGCAAGUCGAGCGAAGCCUUCGGGCUUAGCGGCGGACGGGUGAGUAACGCGUGGGAACGUGCCCUUUGCUACGGAAUAGCCCCGGGAAACUGGGAGUAAUACCGUAUGUGCCCUUCGGGGGAAAGAUUUAUCGGCAAAGGAUCGGCCCGCGUUGGAUUAGGUAGUUGGUGGGGUAAUGGCCUACCAAGCCGACGAUCCAUAGCUGGUUUGAGAGGAUGAUCAGCCACACUGGGACUGAGACACGGCCCAGACUCCUACGGGAGGCAGCAGUGGGGAAUCUUAGACAAUGGGGGCAACCCUGAUCUAGCCAUGCCGCGUGAGUGAUGAAGGCCCUAGGGUUGUAAAGCUCUUUCAGUCGUGAAGAUAAUGACGGUAGCGACAGAAGAAGCCCCGGCUAACUCCGUGCCAGCAGCCGCGGUAAUACGGAGGGGCUAGCGUUGUUCGGAAUUACUGGGCGUAAAGCGCGCGUAGGCGGACUGGAAAGUCAGAGUGAAAUCCCAGGGCU